UACGUAGGUGGCUAGCGUUGUCCGGAUUUACUGGGCGUAAAGAGCGCGCAGGCGGUCGUUCAAGUCGAGUGUGAAAGCCCCCGGCUCAACUGGGGAGGGUCACUCGAUACUGAUCGACUCGAAGGCAGGAGAGGGAAGUGGAAUUCCCGGUGUAGUGGUGAAAUGCGUAGAUAUCGGGAGGAACACCAGUGGCGAAGGCGGUUGCCUGGGGCUUUGCUGACGCUGAUGCGCGAAAGCGUGGGGAGCGAUCCGG
Molecule: ribosomal RNA, 253 nt
Filed under: uncultured bacterium
Lineage: Bacteria
Description: partial 16S ribosomal RNA
Rfam family: Bacterial small subunit ribosomal RNA
Source: RNAcentral